RNAcentral lists this transfer RNA (540 nucleotides) under uncultured Prochlorococcus sp. Its description in RNAcentral is "partial 16S-23S ribosomal RNA intergenic spacer". The stretch from base 212 to 284 matches the Rfam family "tRNA". The record is from RNAcentral. Lineage: Bacteria; Bacillati; Cyanobacteriota; Cyanophyceae; Synechococcales; Prochlorococcaceae.
CAGGGAGACAACAAAAUGUUUAAUAUUAUUAUUUUGUCACCUUAGGUCGAUCGGUAUCUCACGUUUUUAAUUUAUUAAGAAUUUCAUUUCCUAAGUUUUUCUAGGUCACACCCAUUAUUUUUCCUGGGCCAUUAGCUCAGGUGGUUAGAGCGCACCCCUGAUAAGGGUGAGGUCCCUGGUUCAAGUCCAGGAUGGCCCAUAUCUCUAUGUUGGGGGUAUAGCUCAGUUGGUAGAGCGCCUGCUUUGCAAGCAGGAUGUCAGCGGUUCGAGUCCGCUUACCUCCACUGAUUACCACCUCUUCCAUAAUUGGUAGAAAGGAAAUGUUUUGAUUAGUGAUCAAAUCUGAAAGAAUCUAGCUUCCUAAUGAAAUCAUUAAGAUGCUGGACUCAUUGAAUUAAUUUCAUUGUUUUCAGAGAACCUUGACAACUGCAUAGAUUAUUUUUAAAGACAAUAAGCAUCUUUAAUGAUGCAGAUUUAUUAUUUGUGCGAAUGCAUUAAUAACAAUUCUAUUAAGCUGAUGCUUCAAUUUUUGAAGUUAUU